Molecule: non-coding RNA, 4459 nt
Organism: Doryrhamphus excisus (bluestripe pipefish)
Lineage: Eukaryota; Metazoa; Chordata; Actinopteri; Syngnathiformes; Syngnathidae
Source: RefSeq, a predicted model, not a curated record
CUAUGCUGUGAUUGGUCACACUCCCAAGUGCUCAGAAGGACUUCCGUGUUGUGAAGCCAACUUUAUAGGAGUUGCUAAACUGUAUAGGGGUUGAUAAUAAACGGUGAUUCAUCUUUUUAAAAUAUCUGCUUUUAACAAACAACCUUAUGUGUUGGAUCCCGAGUCCAAUCCAGAAGUAGAGACUGGACAGUCCGACGUUUCUCAAGAAAAUAGGUUACUUCAAGACGUCUCUUAAUUGGCACGCCUACUAUGCUGUGAUUGGUCACACUCCCAAGUGCUCAGAAGGACUUCCGUGUUGUGAAGCAAACUUGUGUUGGAUCCCGAGUCCAAUCUAGAAGUAGAGACUGGGCAGUCCGAAGUUUCUCAAGAAUAGGUUACUUAAAGACGUCUCUCAAUGCUGAAGAUCACAGGUGCUGUGUCCACAACAGGGACUUGAGGUGGUCGAGUCCUUAGGGCCUCAUGGAGGGAUUCAGCUGGACUAUCCUCUUUCAAAAGAGGGCUGAAGAGGACCACAAAACACCAUGGCCCAGCUGCUUGGAUGGAAACUCAACACCAUCUGCACAGGAAAGCCAUGGAUUAUGACCUCCCCCGUCCGUCCUCAGCCAUCUUCAGUGUGGCUGCUGACAAGGAUCGCUAAUAUAUGUGCUUAUAAUUCCAUGCGAUAUUAAAACGUUCUCCUUUCUGCAAUUUAGAUGAAGAAGAAGUAACCGAUACUACACAAUGCAGCACAUAUUGUGCUGUUUAGUGGCAAAUGGAUUGAGUUUCUUGUCAGGAAAUUCCUUCCAUGCUGUAUUUUCAUUGAGGCAAGGGCACAGCUUUGCCUUGAAAUUCUAUUACGAGUCUACCCCAGUCCUGUGAGUGUGCAAUGAAAAGAGCCUUUAUCUGCCACUCACUCAAACCUAAUACCAUGAGUGACACUUUGCCAAAAACAGUUAAAGCGUCUAUUAAUCAAAGACAAACUGUAAAAUAUAUAUACAGUUAAGAGUAGGGUUCGGGUUGGAUUGACAAAAUAAUAAUAAAUAUUCCUUUAACUUUACUGUGCAAUUGAAACCAAUGAGGCAUUAAAUCAGUUGAUAGUUCCAUAUGAAUAAUGGCGCAAUGCUGCUUUCCAGGAGCAACACUAUGGUUAAACCACCUUGACCAACCAAUACUUAUUUCCCACACGCUUUUAAUAUCCUUGAAACCACAUCUCUGUAGUGCUCUGACUAUUUGCAACAGGAUUGGGCAUUGAACUGGACUCUACAACUGGACCAGUAAAAGUCAUGACUAAAACAAAGGCCCAAGUUUAUGAGUGCAACCUGUAGCAAGUUACAGGGGUGUGCAAUGAAGAAAAUAGCACUCGGCAGGGUUGAUUUGCACUGACUCAUUUACACAAGCUUGACAGAUGAAAAUUUGGGAAUUGGGGGUUGAGUAAACAAAGCUGCUCCCUCCUUGUUGACCCCGCCUUGCUGCUGAGAGGGCAGCUGGUGAGCUGUCAUGGUGCAGUGAAGGGGCCAUGAACAGCAACAACAUCAGCAGCUUCUGCACUCAGAAGGGGUGACUGGGAGUUUGCAUUGACCACCGUUACGGAAUCAAGUAAGACUAUUUACAAGAAUUAGGGGUGUCAAAAAUAACUAGUUAAAAUGUAUUUCAAUAUUUUCUGUGUGUAAUUAAUGCAUGCAUAGUAGGGCAGGCACACCUCUAUUAUGACGGCAGACGGAAGAACAGUUGAGCAUCCUCACACAGUAACAACCAGUCUGAUGCUCUUAUUACUUCAUUCUGACCUGAACACAGCAACAGCAGUACAAUUCCAACACCAUAUACUGUAUAUAUCGCCAUCUUACACACGUCUUUAGUCUGUUCAUCCUGGGAACAACACUUCCUCAUUGUCAUUAUUGGAAUGAAAUGCAUUCAGGGACACUCAGAACACCACAAAAUGGCUUUAUAAUGUGUGUGUGUGUGUACACAUGGUAAGAUAAAAAAAAAAUCGGAUGUUCCGUUUGCUACAUUUAAGUAUGCUGGAAAAUACACUAAAAAGUAAAUUUAUUUAAUUAUGUGAUGUCUGAAUGCAACCCCUCAUUGCUCAUAAUAACACUGUUUAAUGUGUGAUUCAAAUGUUCUGACAUAGUUGCAAGUGGUGAUGAAUCCUUCAUUCAUUUUCUACCGCUUGUUAGGGUUGUGGGGGGUGCUGGAGCCUAUCCCAGCUGUCUUGGGGCGAGAGGCGGGGUACACCCUGGACUGGUCACCAGCCAAUCACAGGGCACAUAUAGACAAACAACCAUUCACACUCACAUUCAUACCUAUGGACAAUUUGGAGUGGCCAAUUAACCUAGCAUGUUUUUGGAAUGUGGGAGGAAACCAGAGUACCCGGAGAAAACCCACACAUGCACAUGCAAACUCCACACAGAGAUGGCCGAGGGCUGGGAGGUCUGCGCGGUAAACACUCGACCGCAUGAUCAAUUAAUUAAAAACGCAUUAAUCUGAUUAAAUAUUUUAGUCAAUUGACAGCCCUACUGUUCAUCAGUGCUCUUGUCAAACUUGAUCAAAAUGUAACCAUCCACAGUACACAUUUUGGACCAAAAAUAUGUAUAUCGAAGCAAAUUUUACAGGUUUUGCCUGUGUUAAGCAUUUUAAAGCAGGGAAAUUGCAAAAUCAAACAAAAUACAUGCAUAAGACAUUAAGGAGAUGCAUUCAAAGAUGAUAUGUAGUAUUCUACACUGGUCACUUGGUGACAGUAAUGAUACUUUCACUUACAGGAACAUAUUUGGAAGUUUUUCUGUGCUCCUAUUACAAAAUAUUUCAUAUAGAAACUUGGUGGAAAUUAAUUCACCACGGUCGGGUGUGGAACCAGUUAACCAAGAUAAACGAGGUUUAAUGUAAUGUGUAAAAAAUUCAAAUUUUAAACAUUCAUAACGGAAGCAAAUGUUGGUUGUGGUGUAAAUUAAGGUGCAGAUGUGAGCAACUGCAUUUGUUCACGUUCCUACAAACCACAUCUCCUCCUGGCAGCUCGUGCCCGAUAGCUCUCCCAUCUCCACAAACUCAUGUCUUGGGUUUCUCCAAAUAUUUUCUAAUGCCACUGAAGAAUGUUCUAAUGUUGUUGAAAUAGCAGUACUGUUGCUUUCUUCUUUCACAGGAUACUUUAUGAAGAGGCUUGACUGAAGUAGAAGUUGUACUUCUCCUUAGUAUUUCCCUGUGAGGAUUUGCGAUGUAGUUUUAUUUACAUAACGCACACGCUGCGCACAAUGAGGGUACGAUUGUAUAGCAAGCAUGACUGUCAUGAUUUAUUUAUGUCACUGACAGAAAUUAUUUGCUACUGUAUGAAAAUGAAGGAGUGCAUUUGGCUAAAAAUAAAGCUGCGGUGUCAUGGAGAGUUUCUUUGGACGGUCGAGUCAGGUCUGCAGGGCCUCUGUUCUUUUGCCCAGCCAACAUAUUCCAGUACUUUUCUUACAUAAAUAAACAGAAACCACCAAGUCUGGCCACACUGUGGAAGGGUUUGAGACUUAAUGGCAGUAAACUUUGGCUAAAUUUCUUCCUGUAUUAAAAAAAGAUUGAAAAACAGCAUUAACACAUACAAUAUAUUCUUUUAUAAUAACGUAGCCCUUUGAGCCACAUGGUGAUUGCAUUGUGAACUUUUUGGACACAUUAAACAUUUUGAAAUCAUCAUGACAAUAUAUUUUGAAUUAACUAAACCAAACCGAGUUCCUUCCCAGUCAUUUGUACUCGCAUUUCACUUUUUCAUUGAAUUUGGAAAAAUGUGUUGGAAAGUUUUAAUUUAUCCCUAUCCUACAUUUUCAGAUUUACUGUAAUUUCCGGUGUAUAAGCUGCUACUUUUUUUCUCAGCGUAUGAACGCUAUAGCUUAUUUAUGUUCUGAUCUUAUGAUAUCUCCUUUACUUCAGCAUGACUAAUAAUCAUUUAAAUACUCUUUCUUUUUAUACUCAUGGCAAGCUUAUCAACCCAUUGGAAAUGACAGGAGGCCAUUACUCAAUAUUACUCAUUACUCAAAUUACUCAAUCAACAGUCUGAAUCACGGUGCCAUCUUACAAAGAAUGCUAAAGUCAUCACACAGCAACUUACCACUCAAAAGUUACCUCAGAAGUACCAAUACAAGUUAAAAAAAUUAAAAAGCAACUAUUUCAAUGUUUUGCAUAGGAGAACUUAAGGACUUCCAUGUGUAACAAGUUAUGAUGUAGCGAUAAACGCUACUUAGUAGGCUAUAGUUCCUCAUUAAGUGUGUUUUUUUCCGUAAGAUCAGUAUAUCUAAGCCAGCAAUGGAAUUUUUUUUUUUUUGCUUUCUGAAGAGCUAAAGACCUACCUCAUACAGUCAUGGUGCCUUUAUUCUAACAACUUCACUGAUAGUGGUUUUGCUAACAAAACAAAGUUCAAAACACUGGAUUCUUCAAUAUUUUUCCAAUGCUAUCCAAUAUUCAGUUCUUCUUUAAUUUUUGGUGACAACCAAAGGGGAUGUGCCUCUAUGCAACU